GCAGCAAACGCAAUAAGUAUUCCACGUGGGGAGUACGUUCGCAAGAAUGAAACUCAAAGGAAUUGACGGGACCCGCACAAGCGGUGGAGCAUGUGGUUUAAUUCGAAGCAACGCGAAGAACCUUACCAGGUCUUGACAUCCCUCUGACCGGUCCGUAACGGGACCUUUCCUUCGGGACAGGGGAGACAGGUGGUGCAUGGUUGUCGUCAGCUCGUGUCGUGAGAUGUUGGGUUAAGUCCCGCAACGAGCGCAACCCUUAUCCUUAGUAGCCAGCAUGAAAGAUGGGCACUCUAGGGAGACUGCCAGGGAUAACCUGGAGGAAGGCGGGGAUGACGUCAAAUCAUCAUGCCCCUUAUGAUNUGGGCUACACACGUGCUACAAUGGUGGCUACAAAGAGAAGCGACCCUGUGAAGGUAAGCAAAUCUCAGAAAGGCCAUCCCAGUUCGGAUUGUAGUCUGCAACUCGACUACAUGAAGCUGGAAUCGCUAGUAAUCGCGAAUCAGAAUGUCGCGGUGAAUACGUUCCCGG
This 528-nucleotide ribosomal RNA is filed under the name uncultured bacterium. RNAcentral's name for it is "bacterial SSU rRNA". It matches the Rfam family "Bacterial small subunit ribosomal RNA", at positions 848 to 1377 of the family's 1533-position model. The record is from RNAcentral.